RNAcentral lists this ribosomal RNA (252 nucleotides) under uncultured bacterium. RNAcentral describes it as "partial 16S ribosomal RNA". It matches the Rfam family "Bacterial small subunit ribosomal RNA", at positions 524 to 776 of the family's 1533-position model. The record is from RNAcentral.
UACGGAGGAUGCGAGCGUUAUCCGGAUUUAUUGGGUUUAAAGGGUGCGUAGGCGGACUGUUAAGUCAGCGGUAAAAGCCCGGGGCUCAACCCCGGCGAGCCGUUGAAACUGGCUGUCUUGAGAUGUCGAGAGGUAUGCGGAAUGCGCAGCGUAGCGGUGAAAUGCUUAGAUAUUGCGCAGAACUCCGAUUGCGAAGGCAGCAUACCGGCGGCGAUCUGACGCUGAGGCACGAAAGCGUGGGUAUCGAACAGG